This 218-nucleotide ribosomal RNA is filed under the name uncultured bacterium. RNAcentral's name for it is "partial 16S ribosomal RNA". It matches the Rfam family "Bacterial small subunit ribosomal RNA", at positions 113 to 334 of the family's 1533-position model. The record is from RNAcentral.
UAGUCUGGGAAACUGCCUGAUGGAGGGGGAUAACUACUGGAAACGGUAGCUGAUACCGCAUAAUGUCGCAAGACCAAAGUGGGGGACCUUCGGGCCUCAUGCCAUCAGAUGUGCCCAGAUGGGAUUAGCUAGUAGGUGGGGUAACGGCUCACCUAGGCGACGAUCCCUAGCUGGUCUGAGAGGAUGACCAGCCACACUGGAACUGAGACACGGUCCAG